RNAcentral lists this ribosomal RNA (500 nucleotides) under uncultured bacterium. RNAcentral describes it as "partial 16S ribosomal RNA". It matches the Rfam family "Bacterial small subunit ribosomal RNA", at positions 30 to 523 of the family's 1533-position model. The record is from RNAcentral.
AUCGAACGCUGGCGGAAUGCUUUACACAUGCAAGUCGAACGGCAGCACGGACUUCGGUCUGGUGGCGAGUGGCGAACGGGUGAGUAAUACAUCGGAACGUGCCCAGUCGUGGGGGAUAACGUAGCGAAAGCUACGCUAAUACCGCAUACGAUCUACGGAUGAAAGCGGGGGAUCGCAAGACCUCGCGCGAUUGGAGCGGCCGAUGGCAGAUUAGGUAGUUGGUAGGGUAAAGGCCUACCAAGCCGACGAUCUGUAGCUGGUCUGAGAGGAUGAUCAGCCACACUGGGACUGAGACACGGCCCAGACUCCUACGGGAGGCAGCAGUGGGGAAUUUUGGACAAUGGACGCAAGUCUGAUCCAGCCAUUCCGCGUGCAGGAUGAAGGCCCUCGGGUUGUAAACUGCUUUUGUACAGAACGAAAAGGCUCUGGUUACUACCUGGGGCUCAUGACGGUACUGUAAGAAUAAGCACCGGCUAACUACGUGCCAGCCGCCGCCGUAA